This 492-nucleotide ribosomal RNA is filed under the name uncultured bacterium. Its description in RNAcentral is "partial 16S ribosomal RNA". It matches the Rfam family "Bacterial small subunit ribosomal RNA", at positions 29 to 507 of the family's 1533-position model. The record is from RNAcentral.
AGUGAACGCUGGCGGUAGGCCUAACACAUGCAAGUCGAACGGCAGCACAGUAAGAGCUUGCUCUUACGGGUGGCGAGUGGCGGACGGGUGAGGAAUACAUCGGAAUCUACUUUUUCGUGGGGGAUAACGUAGGGAAACUUACGCUAAUACCGCAUACGACCUACGGGUGAAAGCAGGGGAUCUUCGGACCUUGCGCGAUUGAAUGAGCCGAUGUCGGAUUAGCUAGUUGGCGGGGUAAAGGCCCACCAAGGCGACGAUCCGUAGCUGGUCUGAGAGGAUGAUCAGCCACACUGGAACUGAGACACGGUCCAGACCCCUACGGGAGGCAGCAGUGGGGAAUAUUGGACAAUGGGCGCAAGCCUGAUCCAGCCAUACCGCGUGGGUGAAGAAGGCCUUCGGGUUGUAAAGCCCUUUUGUUGGGAAAGAAAGGCAGCAGGUUAAUACCCCGCUGUUCUGACGGUACCCAAAGAAUAAGCACCGGCUAACUUCGUG